Molecule: ribosomal RNA, 448 nt
Filed under: uncultured bacterium
Lineage: Bacteria
Description: bacterial SSU rRNA
Rfam family: Bacterial small subunit ribosomal RNA
Source: RNAcentral
AACGAACGCUGGCGGCAUGCCUAACACAUGCAAGUCGAACGAGACCUUCGGGUCUAGUGGCGCACGGGUGCGUAACGCGUGGGAAUCUGCCCUUGGGUCCGGAAUAACUCAGAGAAAUUUGAGCUAAUACCGGAUGAUGACGUAAGUCCAAAGAUUUAUCGCCCAGGGAUGAGCCCGCGUAGGAUUAGCUAGUUGGUGAGGUAAAGGCUCACCAGGGCGACGAUCCUUAGCGGUCUGAGAGGAUGAUCAGCCACACUGGGACUGAGACACGGCCCAGACUCCUACGGGAGGCAGCAGUGGGGAAUAUUGGACAAUGGGCGAAAGCCUGAUCCAGCAAUGCCGCGUGAGUGAUGAAGGCCUUAGGGUUGUAAAGCUCUUUUACCCGGGAUGAUAAUGACAGUACCGGGAGAAUAAGCCCCGGCUAACUCCGUGCCAGCCGCCGCGGUAA